GGGAAAGUGGCUCAGUGGUAGAGCACUUGCCUUGCAUGCAUGAGGUCCUGGGUUCGAUUCCUUAGCACCA
This 70-nucleotide transfer RNA is filed under the name Dipodomys ordii (Ord's kangaroo rat). It matches the Rfam family "tRNA". Rfam says of the family: Transfer RNA (tRNA) molecules are approximately 80 nucleotides in length. Their secondary structure includes four short double-helical elements and three loops (D, anti-codon, and T loops). Lineage: Eukaryota; Metazoa; Chordata; Mammalia; Rodentia; Heteromyidae. The record is from Rfam by way of RNAcentral.